UGCCCAGGUGGUGAAAUUGGUAGACACGCCAGAUUUAGGUUCUGGUGCCGUAAGGUGUGUAAGUUCGAGUCUUAUCCUGGGCAA
RNAcentral lists this transfer RNA (84 nucleotides) under Chlamydiota bacterium. Its description in RNAcentral is "Chlamydiae bacterium tRNA-Leu". It matches the Rfam family "tRNA". From Rfam's summary of the family: Transfer RNA (tRNA) molecules are approximately 80 nucleotides in length. Their secondary structure includes four short double-helical elements and three loops (D, anti-codon, and T loops). Further hydrogen bonds mediate the characteristic L-shaped molecular structure. tRNAs have two regions of fundamental functional importance: the anti-codon, which is responsible for specific mRNA codon recognition, and the 3' end, to which the tRNAs corresponding amino acid is attached (by aminoacyl-tRNA synthetases). tRNAs cope with the degeneracy of the genetic code in two manners: having more than one tRNA (with a specific anti-codon) for a particular amino acid; and 'wobble' base-pairing, i.e. permitting non-standard base-pairing at the 3rd anti-codon position. The record is from RNAcentral. Lineage: Bacteria; Pseudomonadati; Chlamydiota.